AUAAGGGCACGCUAAUACCGUGUUUGAUGACGGUACCCCUUUAGCAAGCACCGGCUAACUCUGUGCCAGCAGCCGCGGUAAGACAGAGGGUGCAAACGUUGUUCGGAAUUACUGGGCGUAAAGCGCGUGUAGGCUGUUCGGAAAGUCGGAUGUGAAAGCCCCGGGCUCAACCCGGGAAGUGCAUUCGAAACUUCCGAGCUGGAGUCCUGGAGAGGAAGGCGGAAUUCUCGGUGUAGAGGUGAAAUUCGUAGAUAUCGAGAGGAACACCGGUGGCGAAGGCGGCCUUCUGGACAGUGACUGACGCUGAGACGCGAAAGCGUGGGGAGCAAACAGGAUUAGAUACCCUGGUAGUCCACGCCGUAAACGAUGGGUGCUAGGUGUCGCGGGCUUUGACCCCCGCGGUGCCGCAGCUAACGCAUUAAGCACCCCGCCUGGGGAGUACGGCCGCAAGGCUAAAACUCAAAGGAAUUGACGGGGGC
This 479-nucleotide ribosomal RNA is filed under the name uncultured bacterium. RNAcentral's name for it is "bacterial SSU rRNA". It matches the Rfam family "Bacterial small subunit ribosomal RNA", at positions 445 to 920 of the family's 1533-position model. The record is from RNAcentral.